Long non-coding RNA from Cyprinus carpio carpio, 3447 nucleotides. NCBI's taxonomy places the organism in Eukaryota, Metazoa, Chordata, Actinopteri, Cypriniformes, Cyprinidae. The record is from Ensembl.
CACAGGGUCAACGUUAUCUUCAGGCAGCAGAAGGUGUCACCUUCAUCGGACCUGACACACAUGCUACUCAAACCAUGGGAGACAAGAUCAGGGGCAAAUUAAUCGCCAAGAUGCCAAGGUCAGUGUCGUGCCCCCAUACGCGUGGGCUGGUCAAGGUGAGCAGCAGACACACGUCUAUUCUUUCAGCCACCUCAAAUGACUCAUCUCACGUCUGUCGUACUGUCAUGAGGGCAUCAGGACUGAUGUGUGUGUUUAUAAAGACUAGGUGUUGUCAGUUAGCUGUCAGCUCUGGGAAUAACAGAUUAGGCCUUUUUUGAUGCGUUGCCACUGUGGCAAAUUCUUACCUCCCUUGGAAUGCGAUCCAGGAACUCGUUGUUUGUGGAUGGAAAUGUGUGCGUGUGGUUGGAAGGGCCGUUGCUAAUGAGGGAUGUUUUGAAAACAUUUAAAGCCCUAAUGAUGCUGCUCCAAGAGUAAAGCCUCUUCCGGGGGCUGUGAUUUAAGAUGGUUUGAGGCUGUGGAAAAAUUGUUUCACCCAAUUUAAUUCUUGCGUUCCUGUUGUUAAAAUAUUGGGGUUAGAGGCUAACACAAAGAUGAGGAGGUGAAGGACCCUGCCGCAUGCGUGUGUUUUUAAAGUAAAGAGUAUUAAAGCUCCUUCAAUAGCAGCUCUGCGAGUUCUCAGUUCUCCAUUUUGUCUCGAGAGCACUUAAUUGUCUGCAUUUGGCAAGUUUAACACUUCCUGACUUGAGUGGCCUCACUUGAAUGUCUUUGCAUAGCUUUUGGGGACAAAAGAAAGGCCUAGAUGCAGAACAAACACACACACACACACACACACACACACACACACACACACACACACACAAGCAUGCAAAUAUAUUAAAAAUCCAUAGUGACCGAAUGAAACAUGCCAAGAGAAAAUUUCCCACCGAGAAAUUUUGAGAUUUUAGCUGCGCCUAGUUCUGUCCGCCAGCCAAUUUUCCAUCAGGAAUCUCUCAUUAGCAGAUGUUUUUGGCCACAACACACACACACACCUCAGUGUGAUCUGGUGAACCCUAAAUUUAACAAGCGCUUACCAGAGCAGACGAGUUAAUGAAAGGAAAUGACCUUUUCUGCCAAUUUCCCCCUUCCAUUCAGGUGCUUUUUUAUGUCACAAUUUAAAAUGACAGAUACUUUUAUUUUGUACAAAAAAAAAAAACUGAUAAAUCUUUCCAAUGUUUUAUUAUUUCUGGGAAGCGCAUGAGUCAGGUAUUAACUGCAGUCAGAUGGCCACAUCUAUAUCUUGCUUGACCUGGUUUCCAAGACUUAUUGCCGACUUUAAGGUUUCUGAGGUGUCUGAUACUGGAAUUCAUUUUAGAAGACGGCGAUACAGGAUGAAGUUUAUUUACACCGCUGUCAUCUGUUCCCUGCAUAGCAACAAAGCCGAUGAUUUCCACAUAAGAGCAGUGGGGAGACUUGGGUAGACGGCCCCUUCAGAGCCCGCUGAAGUGAAGCCGUAGUUGGGUAUGUUGGCUGGUCUCGCCCGGCCGCCCCACAGCAGGUUUGAAGCCUCUUCUAUCUUUGCCUCAAAUCAAUAGAAGAGCUGCUCCCCCUGCUGCCUGUCUCACGCUACAACUUCCUCUUCCCUCACCUCUUCCAAUGGCACACAUCACCCUUCACAUUUCCUCUCCUUUUAUCCCCAUUUCUCUCUCUCUCUCUCUGCAGUGAAGCAGUCAGGAUGGUACCCGUUUGGCAGUGGCUGACAUGAGGUCUAUCAAGGAGGCCUGUUAGGCUAGUGGCAAGACGGAAACCCAUCUGGGAGGCCUUUUCCUAUGGAUGCAGGUUGUGAUUUGAAGGUUUGUUGGGCAGCAGACGAGUGUGACGGCACGUUUCUGCAUUCAUCCAAGAACCUUCUAUCCUGCCUACUGAUACCUUGAUCUGGUCUCCCUCAGCCAUCUUGUUCUUCAUAAAUUUUUCACCACGCUGUGAUCAAAGCUCACCACUGUAUUUGUGUUCUAUUGUAAUGGCCAAGGAUGUAACAUGAAAAUCUACUUAAAAAUUACAAUCCAUCCUAUAUCAGGCCUAGUGUUGACAUGGCUUUUUCUGUGUGGGUUUUUAAUGUGAUUGAUUUAUUUUGUUUAGAUGGGCAUGGAAGUGCAGGAAUGUUUGGUGCUGUAGGCGUGUCAGUGGGUGAUCCGCAUUCAUAUGCCGUGCACUUGUCUCAAUAGUGCAGCCAUGCAGGCCAUGCAGUUGUGUCAGAAAACACACUCGUCUUUUUUUUUUUUUUGGGAAAAAUAAAUGUGAGAAGACACUUUCGCAUCACUGAAAUAAAAAAAAAAUAUUUCAGUAUGAAAACAAACACAAUUGAAUAAAAAUAAAUAUAUGCAGAAAUAAGUGGUAGUUUUCAGUUCUUUCUCUACAAAAGCUGAGCAGGAAUCUCCUGCAGAGGACUGAUUUAAAGUGGAGUGAAGAAAGUAUUGAGAGCAUCCAAAAAUUAAGAAAUACUUCACAGGUGAUAAACGCUGAAUGGUAGCUAAUCACUGGAAUGUGAUUCUUUGUUUUGAUUUAUCAGAGGAAGGACUAUUAGCACUUUUUGGAGGUAUUUCUUUUUUGGAGUUUCUUCCAAGGCACUGGUUAUGUUCUGUUGGUGUUGCAAUACAGUGUUUUAAGAAGAGGGAUGUUCUCUUUCUGUGUGGCCCAGAGCUGCUGUUCUUCCUGCUGGAGUGACUCAAGUAGACUUGCAUGCAUGUGCUUCUCACAUCAAUUUCUCCAGCUGCCAACUGCUGAAGACCAUCUUACCAAGGCUUUGCUGCCUUUCAUGUUCCUUAAUCCUGGGCUAUGUUAGCAUAAUGCUAAUGCAGUGUUUAGUCUUAAUAGUCUUUAUGCUCUGGAGGUCUUUGUGGAAAGAAAUAUUCCAUCAGUUCCACCUGCACCUAGCCGCAACAAUGGAUAAAAAUAUAAAAAUAUAUAUUUUUUGGAAGACUUUUUUUCCAACUGAUGUUUAAUAAAACACUGGUUUUGUGAGUUAAACAAAAUAAAUCAAUUUAAAAAGAAAGUUUAUUUCCUGUAUUUUGAUACAUGUAGAACUGAAACCGUGCAGCUAGGAAAUUUAUUUUGCUAGAUGAAAAUAUUUUUUGUUUUAGUUUAAAUCAUUAAAUUCAAAGGUCGAAAUAUAUUUCAAAAUGUAUUUCAAGGAGCAAGAUAAUAUAUUUCAAAAUGUAUUUUACAAUGUUUUUGACAAUAGAGAGAAAUAAAAAAACAAACUAAUAUAUGUUUAAAUCUGUAUUAUGUUUAAAAAUAUAUGAAAUAUACACUAACAUUGACAUGUUGGUGAUCAUCAAGAUUAUUUUUUUAAGAAAUGAAUACUUGUAUUCAACAAGGAUGCAUUCAAUUAGAGUGACAGUAAAGACUUUUUUUUUUUUUUAACUUUGAUAAUAAGAAUCAAGAUUAUUUAAGCACCAAAUCAGCAUAUAU